AUGAGAUUUUACAAAAUAAGACCAUACCACACUUUCCUAUUUCCCUGAUGCCUAGAACAGUUCCUUAACAUAGGAGGUAGGUUACAAAGGUUUAUUGAAUGAAAGGAUAUGACUUGUAAAUGUAUAUUUUGUGUCUACUAUUUAAGAUCCACAAAGAAAUCAUCAAAGCCAUGUGAAAACAUGGUAACCAUUGAUCAAACAAUGUAAUAUUAUCACUAUAGUUUCUCAGUAGGUCACAAUCCCUCAAGACUCCGCAGUCAAAAUGGAACUCUACAUUGUUUCAUAGCCUCUUUUUUAGAUUGGAGUCCAAGAGCUACAUCAGAAGUAAGUGGAGAACCUAGGAAUUGGAGAGGAUAGAGUAAAGAUUGAUCCCAAAGAGCAAAGACCAUUCAUCUAAACUUAGAAACAGAAAAGUGGAAUGUAUGACAUUGAAGAGAGUGUCCAAACAUAGCAUCAAAAAGAUUUAUUUUCUUCAUCAGUACUGAAUGAUUCCUGACAACCAUCUAGCAGCAUUAUUUGUGGGUUGUUCUCUAACACCUCACCCCAAUAUAUAUAUAUAGUAAAGUAACACUGAUAAGUUAAGGUAAACAAGAUAUCUAAAUACCAUUACACAAAAAUCAGGGGUCUGUGAUGGCUGAACAAAUUGCCCUAUGUACUAGAGAGGGGAAAUCAGAAGAUGUCACACCAGGAAGUAGUUGAAUGAAAGAAGCUGAAUCUUGAGCCCCCCUUCCCUCUCUACUUCCUGUUCUUCCUUUCACCAAGCAACCUAAUGGAGGUUUUCUUCACAGAUGAAAAGUAAUGGACAAGGGUGGAAUGAAAGGGACCACAUAGUUCACUGUACAUCUCCUUUCUUAAAGAAGUCUCAUCCACUGCUGAGCUUUGAUGAAGGACAUUAGCUUGGUAUGGAAGCAAGAGGAUGUGAUUUCAUGAAGAAAACUAUCUCUCAUAACAAAACCUGCCAAGGAAAGAGAAGGGAGGGAGUAGGAGAAAGCAGUUCCCCCAAAGCUACCCACAUCAAAAAUGAACAACUAAAACAGUCCUGUAUAGAGGCAAUUAGGAAGCAUAAUGGAUCGAGUGCCAGGAGUCAUAGGAUCUGGUUUCAAAUCUGGCCUCAGCCACUUCUUAGCUGGAUGACUCUGGCUCCAUCUUUCUGCCUAUUAUCACACAUCUACAUUGGUACAAGGAAUACAGAGAAGAAAUCAGAAAGGCCAGAAAGAAGCAUAGACAAGAGAAUUGCCUGGGAAGGAAACUACUUCUCCCAAAGAAGAUCAGCACCUGCUCUGCAAUGUCAGUCUUAGAGAGGAAUGUGGAGCACGGAGAAGUUCAAUGUCAUCCUCUCCAUGGAACCGCAUUGGAGGUAACACUUGCACUCCUCAGUGCUCCUCCUGCCUCUGCUCUAAGAUGGGCUCUCCACAUACUCCACUUAUCCAUACUGCCUUGCAGAGAAGAUAUUCUAUAUAGGUUUUAAUAAAUGAAUUUAAACCGGACCCCUCA
Monodelphis domestica (gray short-tailed opossum) is the source of this 1494-nucleotide long non-coding RNA. Lineage: Eukaryota; Metazoa; Chordata; Mammalia; Didelphimorphia; Didelphidae. The record is from Ensembl.